Long non-coding RNA from Harpia harpyja (harpy eagle), 10556 nucleotides. RefSeq lists it as uncharacterized. NCBI's taxonomy places the organism in Eukaryota, Metazoa, Chordata, Aves, Accipitriformes, Accipitridae. The record is from RefSeq and is a predicted model, not a curated record. The transcript has 3 exons.
AAAGUGUGCUAUUUUAUUGCAGGUAAAUGUCUAGCUAGAUUGCCUUUAUAUAUUACCUAGAUAAAAGUUCUCAGUGAUUUAAUUUUCUAUUUUUUGUCAUCCAGAUGUUCAAAACACUGACCCAGCUGGCAUGGAAAUUUCAUUUUUCCAACUUAUGAUAAUGGAUUAAAUCAUAAAAAAGAGGCAUAUUACAUCCACGGAGAUUCACUAGGAUGAUUUGCACUAAAUGGAUUUUUAUAUGGGAUAAUUUUUUUUCCCAAAGUUCAACAAGAGUCAAGAUUAUAUCUCUAUGUGUUUAGGAGCCAAAAAGCCUAAGUAAGGGAGAAAGACACACCUGUCUGUAGAAGUUACUGAAUAAUUGCAUGUUUGUGCUAUUUGCUUAAUGGUAUAACUGAUGAAUCUUUAUGAGUUCUCCUACAGAGUACAACAGAGUUAGAGUGGCGUGGGUAAGGAUUUUUUCAUGUGAUGCGAUGGUCAUCAGAAAGACCAGGAGGGGUCAAGCUCGAAGGAAGAGAUGUCCUUGUUUUGGGGGCAUGGAAGUGUGUGCAGAUAAAUAAUGCGUGCCUCAGACAUAAUGUCUUGGGAGCUCUGGGGACAUUAGGCUUUGGAAAUUUUAUGGGUCUGCUGAUCUGAGCUACUGAGAACACUUUUGCAAAUGUACCUUCAGAUGAGAAACACACAGAGGAAAUCCCUUCAGAACCUCACUGGUGGUUUUAAAACAGCAUGAAAGGACACGUGUCAGUGGUACAAGGAAAUUAGGUGGAAGUUGAAGAGCUAGGCUACCCUCUUCUGAGUCAGAACUUUGUUAAAUUCUGAAAAAUCACGGAAGAUGCUAUUGUCUAAUGAGAAAAACUUUAUUAAGAUGAAUAAAAGGAAAAAGGUAAAACCAGUAAAAUCCUUUCCUCUGCAUACUUCUUAAGGGAAGCAUAGAGAAAGCCACGUGCGCAAAAUGGCAGAGAGAUCAGAUUGUUUUGUCUAUCUCUGCAGUGAGUUGAGCUGUAACCACCUGGCAGAGUAAGGAAUUGCUGCUCAACCAAACACAUAUCACAUGGAGUGGUAGCACUCUCCUGCUAUUUCAUGAGAGUAUAUAGUUUAACGUUUGUGUGAAUGUGUGGCUGGAGGCGCACCCUGUUUACGACAGGCUAUGGAUAUCUGUGGAACGUUGCCCUGGAAGAAUUUGCAAUAUUUCCAGCAGGAAACCCAAAUGCCAAGCAGAUGUAUUUUGGUCCAGACCUAAACUAUUGGACUCUUCAGUUUUAUUCAAACUGGCAGAAAAUCUUCACUUUAUCCAGUUUAACAUUUUUAAGACAACGGUCACAAAACAAUGACUUUUCAGCCCUAUUGACAAAGACUGGAAGCCACUGGGAGGGUCAUGCAGAUCUGUGUUUCCCUGAGGGCACACAGACUGCUCAUUAAAUCUGCUUGGUCAUCUCGCUUAUGCAUUGAACUUAAAAAAUCAAAACAACAACAAAAAAGAAACCCAACCCAUAAAAGCAUGUAGCACUCCUGCUCAGAGGAUGUUUAAGGGAGUUAAUCCAACUUGAUCUUUCUCCCACAUACCCUCUAUGGGAGGAAAUAUUUAUGGAGGAAACAAACUGAAAAAGAUCACAAAGAUCCUGCCACAUAGAUUUCCUGGUGUUAUUCUACAGAGGAAGAGGCAAAAGUUCUUUCCUCAAAUUCCUUUCCCCAUGUAAACAGGGGGAAGAAUAUUGUCCUUUGUCAACAUUUUGUUUUGCUCAUUUACCGUUAUCUUCUAAACAUGUUCUAUGAAGAAGCAAUUUAUUAAUCAUGACCGUGUUGUGUUCUAUAACAGAAACGAUCCUUUGGGACCAUAUUUGUAAUAUGUGCUGAAAUGUAUUUUUUGCUAAGUGGCCUUAUCUAUAAUUCAGAGUCUUUGUGUGCUUUGGAGGACCAUUUGGCAAACUCUGUGCAAGGAAGUAAUUUAGUUAUCUGGCUGCAUUAAGGAUGAAAUCAAUUUAAGAUGAAUUAGGACUUCCAGAAAAGUGAUAUGAAAAAACCCCACCUAAGUUCUUGGCUUUGGAAGAAGUAAUUAACCAGUACUGGAAGAGCCUUGGUGAACAUGCAAUCGGAUAUCCUUUAGUGGAUCUAGAGGAGCAAUUUAAGAAAGUAUUGUCCCCAGCUUUACAUUCCUACCUCUCAGCAGGUUGUUACUUUUUCAAAAGUUUAGAUGUGGUGUCUACCCUAGCAAGUGCUUCUAGCCUGUUUCAGUGACAAAACAGAUUAAUUUAAAUCACUGUUUGAGAUUAUUCAGGGGGCAGAGAGCAAAUAACUUUCAAAUGAUGUGAGACUUCAUUUCAGUUUGAGUCCCUGUCUCCUCCUCAUUGCUCCAUGGCAAUAAAAAACUGUUGUAGAGGGGCUGUUGCAACCCAAGUACCCAAGUGAAGGCAAAGGUCCAGCUGAGAUUGCCUUCAGUUCCAGAAGGUUCAGGUUCAAAGCAUGAACUUAGAGACUGGUUAUUGAGAACACACUGCUAAGUCUUCGCUAAGUGAAGAUACAGUUCACAAGCAUUUAUUUCAAGUCAUUUGCAAUAUAGUGAUAAAUCUGUGCAGUUUUAUUUCCAGCUCAACAGGACAUUGGACAUUGCUAAACUGUUUAAUAUACGUAAUGUGAUACUCUGUGAUAAAAAUGAUCCAUUAGUGAGCUGAGUGACAAAACAGCGUGUCUGAAAAAAGUCCUUAAGGAUAGGCCAAGAUAGUUUGCAUUUAUUUUAAUGAUAUCCAAAUGGUGUUCUAACUAAAGAUGUUAAUAAUUAUGAUGAGCAAUAAAACUCUAGAAAGAGUUAAACUUACUGGCAGGCUUUAUUCUGCUGCAGUGUUCUGUUUGACAUAAUUCCAUAACCUCUUCCCUUCAAUAAAUGUCAACUACUUUGUUGUAUUUUUUUAAUUUCUUAAAUGUCCUAGCUGUGAAGAGAGACAGAGCAUGAAAAUUGUCAGGGAUAUAUCACGUUUUGCAUUCACAUGCUCAUGGUUUUUGCUAGGGUGACUGAAAGGCCAGAGAAGAUGCUGCAGGAAGACUUUCAAGCAACAGUAAAUACGGAAGUUGUUUCCAACUCAAUGUUUUGAAAUGCUUUAAAAGCUUUAAUCAAAAGGCCGUGCUAUGAUCAACUCUGGUAGAGGAAUAAGAGUAAUAUUUCCACAAUAAAUAUUUUAUUUUUGAUGGUACUUUCUCUGAAAACCACUGAUGGGGAAGUGGGGGGAUUUGACGACAACACAGAUUUUAAAAAUGCUGUAAACUUAUCUAAUGGCAGAAGAUGAUGACAGUUUUCAAAGAUAGCCGACCAGUCAAGAACUGCUGCAGCCAGAUGAAAAACCUCCAUUGCUUUUACUCUGAAGCUUGAUUAGUUAAUGAAAAGGUCUGUGUGAUACAGUAGUAUCUGGCACAAGGGAACAGCCUCAAAGGCCUUUGAAGUCCUUUCCUCUCAAAUGUACUUCAGCAGGUAGAACAACAUGUUAAAACAAGAUCUUUGUGGUAGCUCCACAUCAUCUACCCACGACCAUCUGGCUUUCAGUGCUCCUCCUUGUGGCUGGUUUGAGAGUGUGGUCUUCUGUUUAUGUGGUACUAGAGACACUUUUGCAGGCUGUGGAUUUGUAAGCGUUAUAAAAUGAUCGAAUCAUAGUGGCCUGAUCCAUCUCCUACCAAAAAAACUGGAAGACUCUUAAAUCUUCUCUGGGGCUGAAACUGAAUGAGUUUGUGAACAAGUCACAGAAAGCACCAAGCAUGGUCAAUACUUGCACCCUGCCUCACAGUGUUUGAUACAGGACAAGCAGAAAAAGGCAAAUGAAGAGCUUUCAUUUCUGUGGGUACUUACACUGUUACUGACACAGAACCUCUAGAUGCAGCUUUGGUCUUGGAAAACUGUUUAUUCUGGAGCGUAAGAAAGAUGGAGGUGGCCCUAAAUAAUCCUUUACCCUACGCAUCUUGGAAGAAACUAAGACAAUAAUAAUGUGCCAUUUUGCACAAGCAUGAACUGGGGUCCAUAUAGAUAAUAAAUAGCAAAUGAAGCUCAUUGUAAUGAGUGAAAUUGGGUUAAAGACAAAGCUGUCCCUGAGUGUCUUCCUCCUAUGGUCAAGACUGACAGAAAUAGGUGAAGCUAAUAAACUUAAUCCUUGACCCAGCUUUAACAGUAUUUCCAAAGGCCGUUUCAGAAAAUAUAAACACAUUAAAGAAGAGCCAGAAACCUAAUCUGCUCAGCAAUCACAGAUUUCUCAGUUGUGUGUUGAAGACAUAGCAACCUAAAUUACCCUUGAAAUGACUCUUUUUCAAGUUAUACACUUUUAGUAGUACAAGAACUUAUUCCAGACAAGGACUUAGCUUGGGUUUAUGUUAACAUAUAAUUUGUAAAAGUUUGUAAUAAACAUGCCUCACUGAAACUGGCAGAAAUUACAGGAAGGAAAACACCACUACUAACUUUGGGCUACUUGCUUUGAUUCAGACCUUAUUGUGUUAUGUUUGUCAUGUGAGCUUCAAAACUGCAGAGAAGUGAUGAAUCGUUGUGUAACUAGGACCAGAAUUUCCAAAGCAGCCUUGUCUUUUUAGAAACUCUCUUUUGAUUAAGAAUUUUGACUUCCAAUAUAAAUAUUCACCAGAGGCCUGAUGCUUAGAUCGGGAAGUGUACUAACAGGCUUUCAUUCAGACAGGAAGAAAUAUGCAAUGCAUAAUUCAAGACCUUAGGCCUGAGCUGGCAUCCUGUUAUACACCCACUGAAGUCAAUGAAAUUUUAGGGUGUACAGGAAGCGCCAACUGAAGCCUUACAAAUAAACACUUAGUAGUAUUUAUAUAAAUGUGGUAAACAGAAAAGAAAAAUACCAGUAUGCGUGCUGGUGGUCAGUCUGAAAUUACCACUCUUCUCAGGCCAGUUUUUAUAUCCUUUAGUAUAAUAGGGCCAUCAUUAUUUUUCCAAUGCUUUUCAACUCGUGGUAAGAGAUAGUUUCCCUUCAGUUAGUCACACAAACUAAAAGCAGGUCUGUAAUCUCAGUUUAGCUGUAUUUGGAAACUAGUCUUGUUUGUAAAUGAUGAAAGGAAACCAGGCAGGAACCUAUUUACCAAGUUUCUCUGUAGAAGCAUUCAGUUUUUCCAAGGUCGCUCUUUUCUCCACACUGACCAGCUUCUCUGCACUGGAUAAAGUUUUUGAAUCCUUCAAAAUACAAGUUUACCAUUGGUACAAUUCAGGAGCUUAAAAAUUAAAGCAUGCAUCAAUGUCUUUGAAAGUAUGUUUUAGAAACUACUGUGAUAUUGCACUUUGUGUGCAUGUGUGUGUGUAUGUUCUAUUAUUUAAAACAUGAAGAUGGUUUGGUCAGAAUUGCUCAUGACAUUGUUUGAGACACAGAGCAAGCUCAGAAUGGGAGAAUUCAUUGCUCUGAAGAGCCAAGACUUUAAAUAAUUUAAAGCUAUGUUUCUUGUUCUUCCAAAAUGAAGCUUAAUCUAUUAGUUAGCUGUCUAGGAAGCUACUGUUCAAAGGUGAUGGACAAUCUUGAAUGAAGUGGAAAAAAAUUGUUGGUAUAAAUUAAAGAAAUAUUUAGUUGUAAUAAAUGGUGGCAUUUUAAUAAUUAGUGAGAAGUCUUGUGUUUAUAGAUUUUUCAUAACAUACUAUGUAAGUAAUGAAAACAAAGCAUCGAUUAUUCAACAUACAAAAGCCAAUUUUAGGGGUAUAACAGAUGGAGAGUGCCAGAGCCAGAGGAGAGUGAAUAUUUUUUAAAAGCUAUGUGAUCACGUAAUUAAAUUGAGUGGAUUAAAUAUGGGAAUUCACAAACAUUCAGGUGAGUUAGGUUCUGUUCUCAUUGACACUGGAGAAAUAAUGAAAUUUCUGUUUCCCUACAUGUACACACUGUUUAGAAAACCAUUUAUUAAUGUUGAAAUUAAUAGCAUCACGACCAUGCAUUCAGCAAGCCCAAAACCAUAACAUGACUUGAAUGACGCAUAACAAAGUGAUUAUGGGGGCAUACAGAACAGUGCAACUUCUUCCAAAUUGCUGAAAAAUUACAAGUAUUACCUUGUUAACAUUUGUCUCAUGGCACGACCAAACCAGUAACACAGAAGAAUGGCAGGAAGGAGAGUGGGAAGAAGAGGGAAUGACUGACCUUUUCAUGAUUACAGUGUUUGACAAAGCUGGAAAUAGUUGCAUGUUCUCCAAGUCAUAGUCUGAAAAGACUAUAUUCUCUCCUUAAAGAAACAAAUUCAUUUAAAAAGCCCUUAAGAACAGCACCAAGGACUGUGUGUAUGGGUACAUAUAUGUGUGUCUAUAUAUGCCAACCAAACGGCUGUUUCUUUGAGGCGUUUCAGCAUCCUUGAUACUGGAUACUGCUUUGUUUUAAAUCAUCUCCACCAUGAGUUUUUCAAUCAAAUCAAGACAUUUAUUUUUAAAGGUGUUUUCUACGAAAUGGAUAGCCAGACGGAGGCUAUGUCACAAGCAGAGCCAGCCAACUCCUGCCUAAAACGUGCAAGGCACAAUUUUGUACUGGUGCUUGCUCUUUGAUUUGCUUCCUGUAGCUAACUAGAUACAGAAAAAGAGCGAGCUGUAAUCAGCUUUCCCACCUAAGGUCUGAAACAGAUAACUUGAUAAAUUCAUGGAAAAUGAAGUGACCGAGAAUCAUCUGUCGUGUCUUUUCCAAUGAUGAUAACUGUAGUUAAGCUUUCCAUUUUCCCAGAGAUACCAUACAUACCUGUUGAACCUGCUCGAAUCUUUUGCCGCACCAGUGGAGAUAAAGCAGGCACUUGACUGGCUUUAUUGAUUCCUGGGGUCACACAGUUGCUCUGUUUCCUGUUUUAUGGUGGGUUCUUUUUUUUGUAUUAAGUUCAUAUGUCAAUGGGACAGCUUUCAUGUGGUUUUGGAAGUAUGUGACCAGCCAUGCAGUCUCAAAGAAACAGCCAGUUUUCUUUCCAGUUUAUAUUGCUGUAGGUGUCUAUGGGCUUGAAUAUCUUCCUCUUUACAAGCACCUUUCUGUCAAAGAAACAGAAGACAGCUUUCUUACUCCCCAGCCAUCCUGCAAAGUCCUGCAUGAAAUAGUCUCCAGUAGCCUACAGGUCUCACAGCAGUAAUUCAGUCAAGUGCACAAAUUCCACUCUUAGCCCUGUGUUUCUUACGCUGAUGUUGACAAUCUCUUUGGGGAAUGACAGGGAGGAGACUGGAUGGCUCAAAAUAUUAUUGAUGGGCUGCUGAAGGUCUGGCUACAGUUUUUGUAGAGUCCUGAGGGAACUGACUAUGCACUCUCUAUUAAUCUUCUGUUAAUUCAUCUCAUGGCUGAAUCCCACCCCUAAUGUCGAAGAGUUCAGCCCUCUAUUUAGCCAAUUUGGUCAAAGGCAGGCUGGUGGCAACUGAAAGCUAUGACCAGCUGAUGGCUAUAUCCAGUGCUAGUUUGCGAAUAUUGCUUUAGAAGCCUCGGUCCAAAUUUUACCUACAAAAUGUCAGUCUCUCCAAAAAAUUCCUCCAGAAUAACUGCUAGCCAAAGGUUCGGGGCAACCAAGGGUUUGAAGACAAGAAGGGUGAACUUGUCUCUUCCCUAGAAGUGUUGCCUGUACGCCAGCAAUGAAGUGCAAAGGGGCACAUUUAUGUUAGCACCACCCAGGCUGUCAAUAAAGAACUUCUGUCCUCAGAAAUACCAACUCAAGUUCAUAGGAAUUUCCCACUCUUCCAAAACCACUUUCCCACCAGGCAGAAGGGAUCACAAAAUCAAACAGCAUUCCCUCCUUCUCACAUCUCUGCAGUUUGUAAGCACUGUGCCUGUCAUAAUGUUCCCAGGAGGUUUCCUUAACCAUAAUGUCUCAUCUCUGCAAGCAGCUGCUUCCUUUUUGCAUAAGAGUUCUUGGAGACUUGCUUCACUUAUCAAAACUAAACCACUGAAAAGCUGGUAAAUAACUAAGUUCUAUUGGGAAGAUGAAAUCCCACUGCAGAUGAACAGAUUUGCUUAACCUAUAAAAUAAUUCUGGAAUAACUAUUGUUUUGGCAAAAUUCUAAAAUGUAACAAAGUUUGAUUGUUCUUGGCUUCUCCUAAUUUGCUUACUUUGGGGUUAUAGCUGACCCUUAAUAUGCACACGUUAGUCCCAUUACUGUUAACAGGAGUUAAAUAUACACACAUAUCUAAGAGAGGCUUGACCAUUUACUCCCAGUGUUCCAAGGUCAGCUGAAGUCUGGACCUUUUACUUUCUCUAUGCUCCAUUAAUUGAGAACAAAGCUUAUGCAAGACUUCCUUGGGGAACAUGGGGUCUGAGGUUUUUACAGUCCACAAGGCUAAAAUUCAAAUAUGAACCACAGCUGUUUGGAUAGGAAUCUUGGACCUCUUUGUUUUGAACUAUAGUGACCUGCUCAGGCUUACCAACACGUGAAACUCUGAAAUCCCUGCACAGCUAAUGACUGGGAUGUGAAAAUUGCCUGGCAGGCAGACCUGGGUAAAGUGACCAAUUUAUAGGGCUCUGGGAUUUGCAGGUGGAAAGGCUGUUCUUUGUCUUCAUCUCUCUCCCCCCCCCCUCAUGUUCUAUACGCAUCAUUUAAUGCAUAUACAUCCAUGCAUAUGUGCAGAUUUGAAUCUAUGUUCGCCACCCAACCAGCUGACCCAAUGUUCUUGUUGCAGAUGGUGAAGUUCCUCCCUUCUUCCAGGUACAGGUAUUUUUAUGAGUCCCUGGUAAGAGGUAAAAUAAAAAGGGAAACAGAGUGUGGGAAAACCUAGUCAUUCCAUUUAAGUAGUGAUAGACCUCCAGUGCCCUAACACUUUUAAAUACAUUCUAUAUACCCAUGGUAGUGCAUGUAUUUUGAAGCAUAUAAUACAUAUAAAAGUGCCAGUUAAACCUUCCCUUUGAUUUAACUGCAAUUACACAAUUAUCUAGAAUAUCAGGAAGGAGUAAUUUUGCAGAACUGAGACAUGAUAUGCUGGAUAAUAGUUAAGCUAUUUAAAUGGACUGGCAGUCCACCUUCCAGUGGCCAUUGUGGCUUGGAUCAGGUGAUAAUCUCAGUAGAGGCUGCUUGGCUGAUUGUGUUUUUCUUGAGGUCGAUGAUAGAUCAUCUUAUAUGACCUUACAUUUAGAAUCCAAUUCCAUUAUCUUCUUUGCAAAAAUUAUAUGUAUUUGCUAUAUUAAUGUCUUAUCGCAGCAAGACGAAGCAUAUCUUGAUCUGUUCUGAGCAUCCGACCUUUCACAUUCAUUUUGCUGUUGCAAAGCACGUCAAAUACAAUGGAAAGACUGUGGGAAAAAAAACACAAGUCUUUAUGUAGUGAUAUAAUGAAUAUCUUUGUGCAUCCAAGAUAAUAGGAAUUCCAGCAUUCAUGCUUACUAUAAAAUAUAGCAAGCAACGACUAAGUAAAUUCUGUUUGUUUUAAUACGGAAAUAAUUUUGACUGCAUCUUUGGCUUUGUAUGACAUGGAAACUGGUGAUUGUUUAUGCUUUGCUACUUUUUUUGGUCUGCAUUAAAAUCCCACAUGAGAAACAAAUUUUUCUCUAGGAACAAAAUGUUACUUUUUUGGGGACUGAGUUCUAAUUAGUUGGGUAGUACGUCUGUUUCUUUUCAGUUGGGAAAAUGCAAUGCAUAUAAAAUCCAGAUGGAUAGCACAUGAUGCUGGAACCAGCCCCAGCCAAUCAGCCACGUCACUUGAUUAAAAGAAACCUAUAAGAAUUUAAGUAAAAAACCAAACCCAACAAGAUAGUCAGAGCAGCAAACUGGCUGCAAUAUGGGAUUUCAUCACAGCUCUGAGAUUGCUUUUCUUUUGCUGGUUGGCCUCCCCAUGCCUUAUUGAAAGUUAACCUGCAGUUGUAUUUAAUUUAAACUUGUGUAGGAUUUGUGAUUAAGACCCUGAGUACCAAUGGUGGAAGACACGUGGUAAGCGGGAUGGGGAGGAAAUUCAUCGUCAGAUUACAUCAGGCCACAAGGACCACAGCUUUAGGGCAACAGGCUCUUUGAAGGAACGCAGCUGAGAGAAAUGCAACAGAAAUCUGCCCCUGCACAAACCGUAGCAUUGCAGACCAAUUCCUUUUGUAUGGAUGCUGUCUGUGACUGAACAGUCUUUCAGCGAGCAAGUAAGCACAUAUUACGGCAAUUACUCACAGCCUCGCCGUGCGCAAAAGCUCCCAGGGUUUCACCAAACUUGAGAGUGAGAUUUUCGGAGAGGUCUAAGGCGGGCUAUGAAUUCUGAAGGAGAGGCAGGCAGGCCUUGCGGAGGGAUGGAGCAGCAUCUGGAAUCCCUACGGACAACUGCAGGAAUGUUUAUUAUUCUUUGUUUAUUAUUUUGAGUGUGUGCUCUCUCCCUCUUCCUCUCUUUGUCUCCCUUUGUUAUUUGUGUAAUAAAAUUCCUCUAGGCACAUAAAGUAAGUCAUCUGGAAUUGUGCAACUCCUUCUGCCAGGAAGCUGGAAAAGCCCCUCUCCUGUGCAGAGAGAAAAAUAUGGACUUAACCAUUGAGAAAUUACAGAAAUACAGCAUUUGUCUUUGGGUUACACUUAUAUAGCAAAAAGCUGUGGCAAAUAAUUGUGCUUCUUGCUGUUAAAAAUUCUGCUUUUAUCCUGUCCGAGGUGUUAUGUUUAUUUAAAGCUUGAGAAAUAAUUUGUACAUUUUAAA